Molecule: ribosomal RNA, 490 nt
Filed under: uncultured bacterium
Lineage: Bacteria
Description: partial 16S ribosomal RNA
Rfam family: Bacterial small subunit ribosomal RNA
Source: RNAcentral
AUUGAACGCUGGCGGCAGGCCUAACACAUGCAAGUCGAACGGUAACAGGAAGAAGCUUGCUUCUUUGCUGACGAGUGGCGGACGGGUGAGUAAUGUCUGGGAAACUGCCUGAUGGAGGGGGAUAACUACUGGAAACGGUAGCUAAUACCGCAUAACGUCGCAAGACCAAAAAGGGGGACCUUCGGGCCUCUUGCCAUCGGAUGUGCCCAGAUGGGAUUAGCUAGUAGGUGGGGUAACGGCUCACCUAGGCGACGAUCCCUAGCUGGUCUGAGAGGAUGACCAGCCACACUGGAACUGAGACACGGUCCAGACUCCUACGGGAGGCAGCAGUGGGGAAUAUUGCACAAUGGGCGCAAGCCUGAUGCAGCCAUGCCGCGUGUAUGAAGAAGGCCUUCGGGUUGUAAAGUACUUUCAGCGGGGAGGAAGGGAGUAAAGUUAAUACCUUUGCUCAUUGACGUUACCCGCGGAAGAAGCACCGGCUAACUCCGUG